AUUGAACGCUGGCGGCAUGCCUUACACAUGCAAGUCGAACGGCAGCACGGGAGCAAUCCUGGUGGCGAGUGGCGAACGGGUGAGUAAUAUAUCGGAACGUGCCCAGUCGUGGGGGAUAACGCAGCGAAAGCUGUGCUAAUACCGCAUACGAUCUACGGAUGAAAGCGGGGGAUCGCAAGACCUCGCGCGAUUGGAGCGGCCGAUAUCAGAUUAGCUAGUUGGUGAGGUAAAGGCUCACCAAGGCGACGAUCUGUAGCUGGUCUGAGAGGACGACCAGCCACACUGGAACUGGGACACGGUCCAGACUCCUACUGGAGGCAGCAGUGGGGAAUUUUGGACAAUGGGCGCAAGCCUGAUCCAGCAAUGCCGCGUGCAGGAUGAAGGCCUUCGGGUUGUAAACUGCUUUUGUACGGAACGAAACGGUGAACUCUAAUACAGUUUGCUAAUGACGGUACCGUAAGAAUAAGCACCGGCUAACUACGUGCCAGCCGCCGCCGUAA
RNAcentral lists this ribosomal RNA (500 nucleotides) under uncultured bacterium. Its description in RNAcentral is "partial 16S ribosomal RNA". It matches the Rfam family "Bacterial small subunit ribosomal RNA", at positions 30 to 523 of the family's 1533-position model. The record is from RNAcentral.